RNAcentral lists this ribosomal RNA (404 nucleotides) under Fusobacteriota bacterium. RNAcentral describes it as "Fusobacteria bacterium partial 16S ribosomal RNA". It matches the Rfam family "Bacterial small subunit ribosomal RNA", at positions 355 to 776 of the family's 1533-position model. The record is from RNAcentral. Lineage: Bacteria; Fusobacteriati; Fusobacteriota.
UGGGGAAUAUUGCACAAUGGAGGGAACUCUGAUGCAGCGACGCCGCUUGAGUGAUGAAGGAAUUCGUUUCGUAAAACUCUGUUCUAUGGGAAGAAAAGGACUGUACCAUAGGAGAAAGCUCCGGCUAAAUACGUGCCAGCAGCCGCGGUAAUACGUAUGGAGCGAGCGUUGUCCGGAAUUAUUGGGCGUAAAGGGUGCGCAGGCGGCUUUACAAGUUGGAUGUGAAAUAUUGUGGCUCAACCACAAACGUGCAUCCAAAACUGCAAAGCUUGAGUUAAGGAGAGGUAAGUAGAAUUCCUGGUGUAGCGGUGGAAUGCGUAGAUAUCAGGAGGAAUACCGGUGGCGAAGGCGACUUACUGGACUUAAACUGACGCUCAGGCACGAAAGCGUGGGGAGCAAACAGG